CCUUCCAGAAUACUCUUAUUACUCUCUAUCUUCUCUCUCUCUCUCUCUGUGAAACCCUAGCAUUCCUGUUGUUUAUCCAUCUUCGUCGGUGACUAGUAGAGGUUGCCGUAUGCUACUCUCGGAAAAUCUAUCUUCAUCCCGAUUGAGGCAAGAUUAGGCCCAAUAAAGGAAAAAGUUCGACCCAAAAGUUGUAUCUCCACUUAGAUGAUAAUAAUCACGAGAACAAUGGUGUAUAUUUAUGUUUUUUCCUAUUGGAAGAAAUAUUUGGAGCAUCGUUGAUUCCGAAGUACUCAAGAAUAGAAGAGGGAAGUUUGGGGAUCUUGAAAGACAUACCAGCUCAGAGACACUAGGUCAACUUAGGCGAGUUUUCCUGCCCCGUAUCCCAUGAUUCCCAUCCUUCUUCCUCACUAGUAGUUGGGUUUUAUCAGAUUUCAUGCGCCUGCAAUUUUUCUGCCCCCCAUUAUUUAAAUAUUCGGCUCUUACGGUUCUGGAUCUAGUGCAUGCAUUCUUGAAUUUUAGGAUUUUUUGUUUUGUUUUGUCUGCGUUGCUUUUAUCCUCAGAACCGAUAUUUCUAGUGCGAUUUCGAGAUUUAGGGUUUCAAUUGCUGUCUUGUAGCCUACAAAAAACAUGCUUGUAGGCCAAAAUACAAAGGGGAGUUGGUCUCAUUUUUUGGCACUUUUUCUUUCACUAUAUAGUCUGCUACCUUAGAAAUUUGUUCAUAGUUAUGCAAAAUCUAGUGACAGCUGCUCCAAGU
Juglans microcarpa x Juglans regia is the source of this 754-nucleotide long non-coding RNA. RefSeq lists it as uncharacterized. The transcript is spliced from 2 exons. NCBI's taxonomy places the organism in Eukaryota, Viridiplantae, Streptophyta, Magnoliopsida, Fagales, Juglandaceae. The record is from RefSeq and is a predicted model, not a curated record.